This 740-nucleotide ribosomal RNA is filed under the name uncultured bacterium. RNAcentral's name for it is "bacterial SSU rRNA". It matches the Rfam family "Bacterial small subunit ribosomal RNA", at positions 592 to 1330 of the family's 1533-position model. The record is from RNAcentral.
UCGUGAAAUCUCACGGCUUAACUGUGAGCGUGCGGGCGAUACGGGCAGACUUGAGUACUGCAGGGGAGACUGGAAUUCCUGGUGUAGCGGUGGAAUGCGCAGAUAUCAGGAGGAACACCGGUGGCGAAGGCGGGUCUCUGGGCAGUAACUGACGCUGAGGAGCGAAAGCGUGGGGAGCGAACAGGAUUAGAUACCCUGGUAGUCCACGCCGUAAACGGUGGGUACUAGGUGUGGGUUUCCUUCCUUGGGAUCCGUGCCGUAGCUAACGCAUUAAGUACCCCGCCUGGGGAGUACGGCCGCAAGGCUAAAACUCAAAGAAAUUGACGGGGGCCCGCACAAGCGGCGGAGCAUGUGGAUUAAUUCGAUGCAACGCGAAGAACCUUACCUGGGUUUGACAUGCACAGGACGCCGGCAGAGAUGUCGGUUCCCUUGUGGCCUGUGUGCAGGUGGUGCAUGGCUGUCGUCAGCUCGUGUCGUGAGAUGUUGGGUUAAGUCCCGCAACGAGCGCAACCCUUGUCUCAUGUUGCCAGCUGGUAAUGCCGGGGACUCGUGAGAGACUGCCGGGGUCAACUCGGAGGAAGGUGGGGAUGACGUCAAGUCAUCAUGCCCCUUAUGUCCAGGGCUUCACACAUGCUACAAUGGCCGGUACAAAGGGCUGCGAUGCCGCGAGGUUAAGCGAAUCCUUUUAAAGCCGGUCUCAGUUCGGAUCGGGGUCUGCAACUCGACCCCGUGAAGUCGGA